GGAUUAGAUACCCCGGUAGUCCACGCCGUAAACGAUGGGCACUAGGUGUAGGGGGUGUCGACUCCCCUGUGCCGAAGCUAACGCAUUAAGUGCCCGCCUGGGGAGGUACGGCCGCAAGGCUAAAACUACAAAGGAAUUGACGGGGGCCCGGCACAAGCAGCGGAGCAUGUGGUUUAAUUGGACGCAACGCCAAGAACCUUACCCGGGCUUGACAUGUUCCUGACCGGCCUGGAAACAGGUCUUCCCUUCGGGGCAGGAUCACAGGUGGUGCAUGGCUGUCGUCAGCUCGUGUCGUGAGAUGUUGGGUUAAGUCCCGCAACGAGCGCAACCCCCGUCGUAUGUUGCCAGCAUUUAGUUGGGGACUCAUGCGAGACUGCCGGUGACAAACCGGAGG
RNAcentral lists this ribosomal RNA (394 nucleotides) under uncultured bacterium. Its description in RNAcentral is "bacterial SSU rRNA". It matches the Rfam family "Bacterial small subunit ribosomal RNA", at positions 775 to 1169 of the family's 1533-position model. The record is from RNAcentral.